GACGAACGCUGGCGGCGUGCUUAACACAUGCAAGUCGAACGGAAAGGCCCUUCGGGGUACUCGAGUGGCGAACGGGUGAGUAACACGUGGGUGAUCUGCCCUGCACUUUGGGAUAAGCCUGGGAAACUGGGUCUAAUACCGAAUACACCUUGCUGGUCGCAUGAUCUGGUGGGGGAAAGCUUUUGCGGUGUGGGAUGGGCCCGCGGCCUAUCAGCUUGUUGGUGAGGUUAUGGCUUACCAAGGCGACGACGGGUAGCCGGCCUGAGAGGGUGACCGGCCACACUGGGACUGAGAUACGGCCCAGACUCCUACGGGAGGCAGCAGUGGGGAAUAUUGCACAAUGGGCGCAAGCCUGAUGCAGCGACGCCGCGUGAGGGAUGACGGCCUUCGGGUUGUAAACCUCUUUCAGCAGGGACGAAGCGCAAGUGACGGUAC
RNAcentral lists this ribosomal RNA (435 nucleotides) under bacterium Ellin6040. RNAcentral's name for it is "bacterial SSU rRNA". It matches the Rfam family "Bacterial small subunit ribosomal RNA", at positions 28 to 478 of the family's 1533-position model. The record is from RNAcentral. Lineage: Bacteria; Bacillati; Actinomycetota; Actinomycetes; Mycobacteriales; Mycobacteriaceae.